Molecule: small RNA, 611 nt
Filed under: Pongo abelii (Sumatran orangutan)
Lineage: Eukaryota; Metazoa; Chordata; Mammalia; Primates; Hominidae
Description: processed transcript
Source: RNAcentral
GCGGACCCCCGCGCCUAGGCACUCCUGUGCCGCCAGUGCGCGGGGCCGGCCUCGCUCAGGCGUGUUCCUGCGCCGACCGGACGGCCGGACUCCAGCGCCUUGGCCCGGCCCGCGAACUCUGAGCACUCGCGGAAAUCCUUUAAAGAUAGGAAGUGAAAUCAAAUGGAUGUUGGUGAGUACCGCACGGCAACCAUUGCUUCAUUUCAUGGUUCAGAGUGAACUCUAAUCUGGAAGCCUUCCUUAGGUCAUUCCUGCUUCUGGGAUCCAACUCUAUGUUGUGCUUAAGAAAUGUGUCACAUCAGACAGAGUGAAUCACAAGACAGAGAUAUUUACCUAUCACAUACAUAUUUUAUUAGAUUUCAAGAAUGAAGAGGAACAGUUUAUCUGUUGAGAAUAAAAUUGUCCAGUUGUCAGGAGCAGCGAAACAGCCAAAAGUUGGGUUCUACUCUUCUCUCAACCAGACUCAUACGUACAUGGUUCUUCUAGACUGGGGGAGUUUGCCUCACCAUGUAGUAUUACGAAUUUUUCAGUAUCUUCCUUUACUAGAUCGGGCCCGUGCAUCUUCUGUAUGUAGGAGGUGGAAUGAAGUUUUUCAUAUUCCUGACCUUUGG